CCCUUAGAUGUUCUGGGCCGCACGCGCGCUAAACUGAUGCAUUCAACGAGUGUACCUUGGCCGAGAGGCCUGGGCAAUCUUUUGAACGUGCAUCGUGAUAGGGAUAGAUUAUUGCAAUUAUUAAUCUUGAACGAGGAAUUCCUAGUAAACGCAGAUCAUCAAUCUGCAUUGAUUACGUCCCUGCCCUUUGUACACACCGCCCGUCGCACCUACCGAUUGGAUGGUCCGGUGAAGCCUCGGGAUUGUGGCGGUUGCCUUUAUUGGUGGCCGCCGCGAGAACUUGUCUAAACCUUAUCAUCUAGAGGAAGGUGAAGUCGUAACA
Molecule: ribosomal RNA, 322 nt
Filed under: uncultured eukaryote
Lineage: Eukaryota
Description: partial 18S ribosomal RNA
Rfam family: Eukaryotic small subunit ribosomal RNA
Source: RNAcentral